UGGGGAAUAUUGCACAAUGGAGGGAACUCUGAUGCAGCGACGCCGCGUGAGUGAUGAAGGACUUCGUUUCGUAAAACUCUGUUCUAUGGGAAGAAAAGGACUGUACCAUAGGAGAAAGCUCCGGCUAAAUACGUGCCAGCAGCCGCGGUAAUACGUAUGGAGCGAGCGUUGUCCGGAAUUAUUGGGCGUAAAGGGUGCGCAGGCGGCUUUACAAGUUGGAUGUGAAAUAUUGUGGGUCAACCACAAACGUGCAUCCAAAACUGCAAAGCUUGAGUUAAGGAGAGGUAAGUGGAAUUCCUGGUGUAGCGGUGGAAUGCGGAGAUAUCAGGAGGAAUACCGGUGGCGAAGGCGACUUACUGGACUUAAACUGACGCUCAGGCACGAAAGCGUGGGGAGCAAACAGG
RNAcentral lists this ribosomal RNA (404 nucleotides) under Fusobacteriota bacterium. RNAcentral describes it as "Fusobacteria bacterium partial 16S ribosomal RNA". It matches the Rfam family "Bacterial small subunit ribosomal RNA", at positions 355 to 776 of the family's 1533-position model. Lineage: Bacteria; Fusobacteriati; Fusobacteriota. The record is from RNAcentral.